RNAcentral lists this unclassified non-coding RNA (1345 nucleotides) under Megachile rotundata (alfalfa leafcutting bee). Its description in RNAcentral is "cysteine and histidine-rich domain-containing protein, transcript variant X2". Lineage: Eukaryota; Metazoa; Arthropoda; Insecta; Hymenoptera; Megachilidae. The record is from RNAcentral.
CACGUUCUCUAGAAUGUGCUAGAAUUUUUUUUGAGACGUAUUUAAUAUAAGUAUUAUAACUAAAUGCGUACUAGUCAUUUACAAACAUCGCAGUAGUUCAAGAAGCUGCAGUAUAUAAUUGGAACUUGUGUAUGAUUUUGUCCGUUUAAAUUAAAAUAAAACGAUAAAAGAAAUGUCACAUGAAACAACUUUGUUACAUUGUUAUAAUCGUGGUUGUGGUAAGAAGUUUGAUCCGAAUGAUAAUAAAGAAGGAGAUUGCAUUCAUCACCCUGGUCAUCCGGUAUUUCAUGAUGCUUAUAAAGGCUGGUCCUGUUGUAACAAAAAAUGUACAGAUUUCACAGAAUUCUUGAAUAUCAAAGGAUGUACAAAAUCUUGUCACUCAAAUGUCAAACCACCUGAGCCAGAGAAACCUGCUGUUGACAAAUCGAAGACUAACGAAAUAAUUGAAGUAACUGCUCAGCCUCUCAAUAAUGGACCUGUGUUGGAAAGGCCUCCUUUUGAUGCUCCACAAGUUACAUUAAAACCUACUGUGUCACCUACAUUAUUAGAACAAAUUAAAGGAUUAACUUCUUCUAUAUCAGAAAUUCUACCACAAACAAAAGUUCAAAUUGGACAAAGCUGUAAAAACAAUGCAUGUAAAGCUACGUACAAUGGCCCAGCAUCUGAUGAUGAAGUGUGCAAUCAUCAUCCUGGUAUUCCUAUUUUUCAUGAAGGAAUGAAAUAUUGGUCUUGUUGUCAAAAGAAAACUACAGACUUUUCCACAUUCUUAGAACAACCAGGAUGUUUGCAAGGAAAACAUAAAUGGAUUUCUGAGAAUACUGGUAAAAAAGUUAACUGUAGAAUGGAUUGGCAUCAAACUGGAACAUUGAUUGUAGUUUCUAUUUAUGCAAAGAAAUACCAGCCAGACCAAUCAACUAUUAAAUUAAAUCCUAUACGUUUAACUGUGGAUCUAUAUUUUAUUGAAGAAAACUCUAGAUAUAAUCUCGAUUUAGAACUUAGAGGAGUUGUUGAUAUUACACAAAGCAGUGUAAAUAUGCUUCCAACUAAAGUAGAAAUUAAAUUAAAAAAAGCUGAAUCUGGAUCAUGGGCAAAAUUAAAUAUUCCUAGAACAAACGAGAUAGAAACAGAAGAAAAUGACAAAACUGAUGAAAACAUUAGCGCACAAGUUGAAGCAGUUGAUCUUAGCGAUCUUUAAGUGUUCAUAUUUAAUUAUUUUAUUAUAAAUAUUAUAAAACAUGAAUAUAUUAUCUAUUUAAAGAUGAUACUUUCAUUUGAAGAUACUUGCUCUUCAUGGAUAUGCUCAAUCGGAUAUUACUUUUAAAUCAAAAUUAGGUUCUUUGAGAAA